ACAUUUAAUAUAUAUGUAUAUAUAUAUAUAUUAAUUGUUAACAUUAAUUACUAGUUAAAGCUAGGAACCCAGCCAAUACCAAUGUACAGGCGAUUCUCAGCUUUUGUGAUUGAUCAAUGAACUCAAGUGCAUCCAAGAUCAGACCAAGAAGUGACGCGAGCAGCUUUUCUUAAUGCCAGAUGCUACCCCAGGAAGCGAGAAAAAGCAGAAGAGGAGUCAAAAUCUAAGGAUAACGACAUGAGCUUCGCUUUCUUUUGUUGGCUUUGAGGACAGCCGCCCUUUACAACGACUUAUUUCUUGGAAACAAAACUGCCCUGAUUUUACACCAUACCUUUUAAACUGAAAGCAUUUAUUUAUUUUAAUGUUUUUUAAUAAAUUAUUUGACAAUAAACUCUA
Molecule: long non-coding RNA, 396 nt
Organism: Drosophila busckii
Lineage: Eukaryota; Metazoa; Arthropoda; Insecta; Diptera; Drosophilidae
Exons: 2
Source: RefSeq, a predicted model, not a curated record